This 375-nucleotide ribosomal RNA is filed under the name uncultured organism. RNAcentral describes it as "partial 16S ribosomal RNA". It matches the Rfam family "Bacterial small subunit ribosomal RNA", at positions 527 to 896 of the family's 1533-position model. The record is from RNAcentral.
GUAGGUGGCAAGCGUUGUCCGGGAAUUAUUGGGGCGUAAGGCGCGCGCAGGCGGUUCUUUAAGUCUGAUGUGAAAGCCCACGGGCUCAACCGUGGAGGGUCAUUGGAAACUGGAGAACUUGAGUACAGAAGAGGAAAGCGGAAUUCCACGUGUAGCGGUGAAAUGCGUAGAGAUGUGGAGGAACACCAGUGGCGAAGGCGGCUUUCUGGUCUGUAACUGACGCUGAGGCGCGAAAGCGUGGGGAGCAAACAGGAUUAGAUACCCUGGUAGUCCACGCCGUAAACGAUGAGUGCUAAGUGUUAGGGGGUUUCCGCCCCUUAGUGCUGCAGCUAACGCAUUAAGCACUCCGCCUGGGGAGUACGGCCGCAAAGGCUG